RNAcentral lists this ribosomal RNA (489 nucleotides) under uncultured bacterium. Its description in RNAcentral is "bacterial SSU rRNA". It matches the Rfam family "Bacterial small subunit ribosomal RNA", at positions 28 to 511 of the family's 1533-position model. The record is from RNAcentral.
GAUGAACGCUGGCGGCGUGCCUAACACAUGCAAGUCGAACGAAGCACUGAGAGUUUGAGAUUUCGGUCAAGAACACUCUUUGACUUAGUGGCGGACGGGUGAGUAAUGCGUGAGCAACCUGCCUUUCAGAGGGGGACAACAGUUGGAAACGGCUGCUAAUACCGCAUGAUAUAUUCGGAUCGCAUGGUCUGGAUAUCAAAGAUUUAUCGCUGAAAGAUGGGCUCACGUCUGAUUAGUUAGUUGGUGAGGUAACGGCUCACCAAGACUGCGAUCAGUAGCCGGACUGAGAGGUUGAACGGCCACAUUGGGACUGAGAUACGGCCCAGACUCCUACGGGAGGCAGCAGUGGGGAAUAUUGGGCAAUGGGCGAAAGCCUGACCCAGCAACGCCGCGUGAAGGAAGAAGGUCUUCGGAUUGUAAACUUCUUUUAUCUAGGGACGAAGGAAGUGACGGUACCUGAUGAAUAAGCCACGGCUAACUACGUGCCAG